AACCCAUGGUGAGGACACCUUUACAAUAGAUCCUUGUAUCUCUCCCAUGCAUCGUAAAGUGUUUCGAAGUCCAUCUGCACAAAAGAAGAGAUAUCAUUAUGUAACU
This 106-nucleotide small nucleolar RNA is filed under the name Gossypium hirsutum (cotton). Its description in RNAcentral is "Plant small nucleolar RNA R71". It matches the Rfam family "Plant small nucleolar RNA R71". Rfam says of the family: R71 is a member of the C/D box family of snoRNAs containing the C (UGAUGA) and D (CUGA) box motifs. The record is from Rfam by way of RNAcentral. Lineage: Eukaryota; Viridiplantae; Streptophyta; Magnoliopsida; Malvales; Malvaceae.